CGAAAUCGGUAGACGCUACGGACUUAAACUUUUAAAUUGUGAGGUUCAAGUCCCUCUAUCCC
RNAcentral lists this transfer RNA (62 nucleotides) under Tainia dunnii. RNAcentral's name for it is "partial tRNA-Leu". Lineage: Eukaryota; Viridiplantae; Streptophyta; Magnoliopsida; Asparagales; Orchidaceae. The record is from RNAcentral.